Long non-coding RNA from Strigops habroptila (Kakapo), 149 nucleotides. RefSeq lists it as uncharacterized. Lineage: Eukaryota; Metazoa; Chordata; Aves; Psittaciformes; Psittacidae. The record is from RefSeq and is a predicted model, not a curated record. The transcript is spliced from 3 exons.
AGAGAGUGACUAAAUCAGUUGUCCCCCCGAGCCUUCUCUUCUCCAGACUAAACAACCUCAGUUCCCUCAGCCAUUUCUCAUAAAACUUGUGCUCUAGAUCCUUCAACAGCUUUGUUGCCCUUCUUUAGACACGCUCCAGCACCUCAAUG